CUCUACAGUUACAGAAAUGCACUUUAUAUUUCAGCUUAUAGAAUUUUGACACCAACCCUUUUGAGUAGGUAUUCCCCGUCUUACAGAUGGAGAAACUAAGGCACAUAGAAGUUAAGGAAACUACCAAAGAUCACCCAGCAUUAAAUGGCAGAACAGGGAGGUGGCCCAAGAGCAGUUGUGGCUCCAGAGGAUGAGUUAACUACUGUGUCACUGCCCCUCCAAAAUGAAUGUCAAAAGCCUUAAUUUAAGGCCUUUGUGACAGGUGAGGCCCCAGACAAAUGUGCUUCUCUGCUCUCCCCUCCCUGUGAUUGACCCUGAGUCCUGGGAGACGCCCGUGAUAGUGAGGCCCCCCUAAGUUGCUGAGGGAAGGAGAAGUGAGCAGGGUGUGGGCGAGCAGAGCGGUUUUCCUGGGCAGGAACAGAUGUUCUGACAUCUGAUGCCCCACUGCAGAAGCCUGGGGAGGGCCCCUCUUCCCGGCUGGCCCUGUCCCUGCCCCCUGGGGUUGUCACAAGACCUGAGCCAACAGGCCAGGUCCUGCUGUCCAUCCACAGGAAAGCCAGCUUCCUGGAAGCCACCCUGCCGGCCCCUCCCAGGCAGCCCAGUUCCUGGAAGUUAAAAGAGCUGGCUGCGGUGUGAGGGGUGCGGGGCGCUGGGCCUCAGCACCUUUCUUUGGCUUUUGCCACCUGCAGGAGGGGAGAAGACAAGGGCUCGAUGUCGCUGGCAGAUGGGACUUGAGUGUCCCUUUCCACCUUACCUGGGUCAAGUUACCUGACUUCUCAGGAGUCUCAGUUUCCCCAUAUAUAAAAUGAGAUACUCAAAGAUCCUGAAGGGCUAGCCAUAGCAUUGAGAGCAACUGGGUCCCCACAGCCUGGUACCCUAAAGCACUCAGAAACAAGGUAGCCAUGGCGACUAUUAUUAGACUAUCAUCAUCCUGCUGCCCUCCUUCUCCUGGGGCACAGAGGCGCUGAGAGAUGGGCUGGAGGCCCUGGAUGUCCUGGCCCAGUUAUUAAUACCCCCCGGCCCCUCCAACUUUGGAUUUAGCAUUCCAAUGACGAGGGGCAGAGGCCGGAGGGCAAGGCUGGGAACAGGAGGCAGGGCUGGACAGGAGCCACCGGCCUCCCUCUGGGUGGGAGCAGUCCUCCCCAGCCUUAACAGAGACCUGGCUCCUCUCCCAGACACCCUCCACCUGCACUCUAGGGCCCCAGAAGGUGUGAAAUUCCUGUCUGAAGUCAGGCUGGGGCAGCCAUCAUCUUAGUCCCCUAAGGACACAGCACUGUCCUUCCAGGGAUGGGAGGCCCAAGAGACCAGGAUCCGCUGGGCAACAGAGGGGACGAAUUCACUCGUGGAAUUGUGGACUGUCCAAGUUAGACAGGGCUCAGGGAACCCCAACUUGCCAGAAGUGGUUUUGAACUCGACUCUGGACUCAGACCAGAGUGACCAGAAAACCUGUGUGUCCUCCAGCCUCCAUUUGCUGGGCCAUUAACCAGGGAGGGUAAUGACUCAGAAUGCUCCCGCGGAAUGGCACCGCCUUCCGAACAUCCUGAGCCCAAUCCCCACGUACUGAAAAAAAAUAAGUCAUAUGAUUAUUUUUAUUUGGCUGUUGAAAGAGCACGUGAGAUAACAUAAAGUAGGAAAUUAGUGAGCAGUGUCUAGCAAAUAGUGGGUAUUGGUAUCCAACCUGUCUAGUCAUGGGUGACUUCUUUAUGUUUCUGCCACAUGAGUGGUGGCAGACCUUGAGGAACAAAGCCCUCCCUGGAACUUCCCACUCCGCCACCUGAACUAACAGUUACACUGCACAAUGCUUCUUUGUUUUUUUCUUGUAUCAGUAUUUUAAAAAUUAAUAGCCCUUAGUUAUUUUUAAUAUUAAAUAUCGUUUACUGAAGACCCAUUAUAAAAAGAAUACCUUGCCAGGCAUGGUCACACUUGCAUAUAAUUACAGUGACUCUGGAGGCUGAGGAAGGAGGACUGCAAUUGGAGGUUAGCCUUAGCAAUUUAGCGAGGCUCCAAACAACUUAGGGAGACCCUGUCUCAAAGUAAAAAACAACAAGGGCUGGGUGCAGUGACAUACACCUGUAAUUCCAGCAGCUCAGGAGACUGAGGCAGGAGGAUGGCGAGUUCAAAGCCGGCCUCAGCAACUUAAGGCCCUAAGUAACUCAGGGAGACCCUAUCUCUAAAUAAAAUAUAAGAAUGGGUUUUGGGGAUGUGCCUAAAUAGUAGAGCACCCCUGGGUUCAAUCCCCAGUACCAAAAAAAAAAAAAAAAAACCAAACCCCCAAACUACCCUCUGAGUAUCAUCUCAUUAAAACUUCACAACUUCCCCAUGGCAUAGUAAUUAUUGUUCCACUUUACAGCCAAGGAAAGCAAGCAAAAGAAUCCAUCUGAAGUCCAUCACUGCAGUAGGCUCCUCCCGAGAACACGCGGGAACCGAGGUGGGCAUAUCACACACUUGCUGUGCAGUGGCCUCCUUUGCUCAUGAACCUCCCGCUGGGCAGAGCUUGGUAGGGGCACUUCAUCUCUGUUCCUGGUGGAGUCCGCCAGGGCAGCUGGGUGGCCGAGGUCUGGAGCCUCCUGAGAGCCCAUUCAUCCAUGUGACCAGUGGUUAGUGCUGGCUGUUGCCUGGAAUCUGUGGAAUUGUCAACUGGAAUACCUCCCUGUGGCCCCUCUGUGUGACCACCACCUAGGCCUUGGGUCUUAGGUCUUAGCUUAUCUGACUUUUUUUCUCCAACCUUCAGACUAUCUUUUUUUAAAUUUUUUUGGCACAGGGGAUUGAUCCAGAGGCACUUUACCACCAAGCCACGUCCUCAACCCUUUUUAAAAAUUUGGUAUAGGAUCUUGCUGAGUUGCUUAGGGCCUUGCUAAGUUGCUAAGACUGGCCUGUCUCAGCCUCCUGAGCUGCUGGGAUUAGAGGUGCCCAGCUAUCUUUUGCAUUUUUGUUUUUGCUUUUCUUUUUUGUACUGGGGAUUGAACCCAGGGUGGCUUAAAUACUGAACCACAUCCACAGCCUAUUUUAUUUUAUUAUAUUUUUUGGUAUCAGGGAUUGAACCCAGAAGUGCUCAACCACUGAGCCACAUCUGCAGCCCUUUUUUAUAUUUUAUUUAGAGUGAGGUCCUCACUGAGUUGCUUAGUGCCUCACUAAGUUACUGAGGCUGGCUUUGAACUUGCAGUCCUCCUGUCUCAGGCUCCUAAGCUGCCGGAAUUAUAGGUGUGUGCCAUUGUACUCAGCCCCUUUUUAUUUUUUUAUUUUGAGACAGGGUCUCAGUAAGUUGCUUAGUGUCUCACUAAGUUGCUGAGGCUGGCUUUGAAUCUGUGAUCUUCCUGCCUCGGGCUCUCAAGCUGCUGGGGCUAUAGGCAUAGGCCACCGUGCCUGGCUAUCAUUUGCUUUUAUCUUUUUAUUUUUAUUUUUUCAAAUUUAUUUUUUAGUUUUAGGUGGACACAAUAUCUUUAUUUUACAUUUAUAUGGUGCUGAGGAUCAAACCCAGUGCCUUGUGCAUGCUAGGUGAGUGCUCUACCACUGAGCCACAACCCCAGCCCUGCUUUUUAAUUUACCUUUUCCCAGGUUUUAGUUUUUUUAGUUUUUUUUUUUAAUAUUUAUUUUUAGUUUUAUGUAGUGCUGAGGAUGGAACCCAGGGCCUUGCAUGUGCUAGGCGAGUGCUCUACCACUGAGCCACAACCCCAGCCCCCAGGUUUUAGUUUUUUAAACAAUAUUUUAGAAUGGCUGCAUAAUGCUCUGUUCCCAAGCAUGCCCAGCUCAUCACCACUCUGUCUGGACUGUUCUCCCCAGGAUGCCCGCAGGGCAUCGCUCAGGUCUCAGAUCAGCUGUUGCUUCCCUUGAGAGCAAGUCUCUCUUCAUCUCAUUACAAUGUCUGCUUUUCUUGAUAAUAUUUGUUACAUCAGAAAUUAUCUUUAUUUCCUUUUUUUUGGGUGGGGAGGUACUGGAGAUUGAACUCAGGGGUGCUCAACCACUGACCCACAUCCCUUUUUUGUAUCUUACUUAGAGACAGGGUCUCACUGAGUUGCUUAGUGCCUCACCAUUGCUGAGGCUGGCUUUGAACUCACGAUUCUCUUGCCUCAGCCUCCCAAGCUGCUGGGAUUAAAGGUAUGUGCCACCAAGCCCAGCUCUUUAUUGCUUUUUAAAUGUUUUAUCCCACCAGAACAUAAUCUCCAUGAAGAAAACAGGAACUCUUCUGCUUGCUCUUUAUUUCCAGUGCCUAGAACAGUGCCUGGCACAUAG
This 4230-nucleotide long non-coding RNA is filed under the name Marmota monax (woodchuck). The record is from RNAcentral. Lineage: Eukaryota; Metazoa; Chordata; Mammalia; Rodentia; Sciuridae.